AGUGAACGCUGGCGGUAGGCCUAACACAUGCAAGUCGAACGGCAGCACAGUAAGAGCUUGCUCUUACGGGUGGCGAGUGGCGGACGGGUGAGGAAUACAUCGGAAUCUACUUUUUCGUGGGGGCUAACGUCGGGAAACUUCCGCUAAUACCGCAUUCGACCUCCGGGUGAAAGCAGGGGAACUUCGGACCUUGCGCGAUUGAAUGAGCCGAUGUCGGAUUAGCUAGUUGGCGGGGUAAAGGCCCACCAAGGCGACGAUCCGUAGCUGGUCUGAGAGGAUGAUCAGCAACACUGGAACUGAGACACGGUCCAGACUCCUACGGGAGGCAGCAGUGGGGAAUAUUGGACAAUGGGCGCAAGCCUGAUCCAGCCAUACCGCGUGGGUGAAGAAGGCCUUCGGGUUGUAAAGCCCUUUUGUUGGGAAAGAAAAGCAGCAGGUUAAUACCCCGCUGUUCUGACGGUACCCAAAGAAUAAGCACCGGCUAACUUCGUG
This 492-nucleotide ribosomal RNA is filed under the name uncultured bacterium. Its description in RNAcentral is "partial 16S ribosomal RNA". It matches the Rfam family "Bacterial small subunit ribosomal RNA", at positions 29 to 507 of the family's 1533-position model. The record is from RNAcentral.